CCUGGUUGAUCCUGCCAGUAACAUAUGCUUGUCUGAAAGAUUAAGCCAUGCAUGUCUACGUACACAUGGCUGGUACAGUGAAACUGCGAAAGGCUCAUUAAAUCAGCUAUGGUUCCUUUGGUCGCUUGCUCCUGUCCUACUUGGAUAAUUGUGGUAAUUCUAGAGUUCAUCCAUGGCGACGGGUGCUGACCUCCUUCGCGAGGGGAUGCGUGCAUUUAUCAGACCAAAAGCAACCCGGUGAGCUCCUCCCCGGCCCCGGUCCGGGGUGGGGGGCGGCAGCUUUGGUGACUCUAGAUAACCUCGGACUAGUCGCAUGCCUCCCGUGGCAGCGAUGACCCUUUCGAACGUCUGUCGUAUCAACUUUCGACGGUAGUCGCGGUGCCUACCAUGGUGACCACAGAUGACGGAGAAUCCGUGUUCGAUUCUGGAGAGGGAGCCUGAGAAUCACCUACCUNUAUCAACUUUCGACGGUAGUCGCGGUGCCUACCAUGGUGACCACAGAUGACGGAGAAUCCGUGUUCGAUUCUGGAGAGGGAGCCUGAGAAUCGCCUACCUCAUUGAAGGAAGGCAGCAGGCGGGCAAAUCAGCCACUCCCGACCCGGGGAGGUAGUGACGAAAAAUAAUACAGGAGUCUUUUGAGGCCCUGUCAUUGGAAUGAGUCCACUUUAAAUCAGUCAUAAAGGAUGCCUAUUGGUCAUGUGGUGUCAUUAUUCCCAUGACCUGCCAGGCAUCUUCUGGGAAACCAAAGUCUUUGGGUUCCUGGGGGAGUAUGGUUGCAAAGCUGAAACUUAAAGGAAUUGAAGGAAGGGCACCACCAGGAGUGGAGCCUGCGGCUCAAUUUGACUCAACACGGGAAACCUCACUUGGCCCGGACACGGACAGGAUUGACAGAUUGAUAGCUCUUUCUCGAUUCUGUGUGUGGUGGUGCAUGGCCGUUCUUAGUUGGUGGAGCGCUUUGUCUGGUUAAUGCCAAUAGCGGACGAGACUGUGGCCUGCUAAAUAGUGUACGCGAGCCCUGAGCGGUCGGUGUCUGCCAACUUCNGUGUCAUUAUUCCCAUGACCUGCCAGGCAUCUUCUGGGAAACCAAAGUCUUUGGGUUCCUGGGGGAGUAUGGUUGCAAAGCUGAAACUUAAAGGAAUUGAAGGAAGGGCACCACCAGGAGUGGAGCCUGCGGCUCAAUUUGACUCAACACAAUAAACCUUACCUGGCCCGGACACGGACAGGAUUGACAGAUUGAUAGCUCUUUCUCGAUUCUGUGUGUGGUGGUGCAUGGCCGUUCUUAGUUGGUGGAGCGCUUUGUCUGGUUAAUGCCAAUAGCGGACGAGACUGUGGCCUGCUAAAUAGUGUACGCGAGCCCUGAGCGGUCGGUGUCUGCCAACUUCUUAGAGGGACUAGUGGCGUUCAGCCACCCGAGAUUGAGCAAUAACAGGUCUGUGAUGCCCUUAGAUGUCCGGGGGUGCAUGCACGGUACACUGAGUGGCUCAGUGUGUGUCUACUCUAUGCUGGCAGGCGGGGGAACCCAUUGAACCCCAUUCGUGAUGGGGAUCGGGGAUUGCAAUUAUUCCCCAUGAGUGAGGCAUUCGCAGUAAGUGCGGGUCAUCAGCUUGCGUUAAGUCCUUGCCGUUUGUACACACUGUCCAUUGCUAUUACUGAUUGGAUGGUGUAGUGAGGCCCUCUCAUAUGCCCCGGUGGGGUCAGCCCACGGCCCUGGCGGAGACCUGAGAAGAUGUUCAAACUUGACUAUCUAGAGGAAGUAAAAGUUGUAACAAGGUUUUCCAAAGUGAACCUGUGGAAG
Molecule: ribosomal RNA, 1795 nt
Filed under: Eulemur flavifrons (Sclater's lemur)
Lineage: Eukaryota; Metazoa; Chordata; Mammalia; Primates; Lemuridae
Description: bacterial SSU rRNA
Rfam family: Eukaryotic small subunit ribosomal RNA
Source: RNAcentral